Molecule: long non-coding RNA, 322 nt
Organism: Oncorhynchus masou masou (cherry salmon)
Lineage: Eukaryota; Metazoa; Chordata; Actinopteri; Salmoniformes; Salmonidae
Exons: 3
Source: RefSeq, a predicted model, not a curated record
CCCAACCAUCAAACUGUUCACCGACGGAGACAGAAACAACCCCAUCGACUUCACUGGGAAGAGGACAGUGCAGGGUAUUGUCCAGUGGUUGAAGAGGCGGUCAGGUCCUAGUGCCGUGUUGUUAGAGACGACUGAUGCCGCUUCAGAACACAUCAGCCUUCACAACGUUACAGUGCUGGGGUUCUUCACUAGUCUGGAGAGUGAGGAGGCCAAGGUGUUCUAUAGUGUUGCCAUGGAGAUGGUUGACAUGGUGUUCGGGGUGACAACCAGUCCAGAGGUCUUCCAGAAAUAUGAAGUAAAGAACAAUAGAGUGGUGCUGUUC